This 536-nucleotide ribosomal RNA is filed under the name Herbaspirillum sp. 1130. RNAcentral's name for it is "partial 23S ribosomal RNA". It matches the Rfam family "Bacterial large subunit ribosomal RNA", at positions 1 to 581 of the family's 2925-position model. Lineage: Bacteria; Pseudomonadati; Pseudomonadota; Betaproteobacteria; Burkholderiales; Oxalobacteraceae. The record is from RNAcentral.
GAACAAGCGAAUAAGUGCACAUGGUGGAUGCCUUGGCGAUUACAGGCGAUGAAGGACGUAGUAGCUUGCGAUAAGCUGCGGGGAGCUGGCAAACAAGCUUUGAUCCGCAGAUUUCCGAAUGGGGAAACCCGGCCGUAAGGUCAUCGUUAUCUGAAUACAUAGGGUAACGAAGCGAACGUGGCGAACUGAAACAUCUAAGUAGCUACAGGAAAAGAAAUCAACCGAGAUUCCCAAAGUAGUGGCGAGCGAAAUGGGAUCAGCCUGCAAGAUUUAGCAUCAACGAUAGCAAAACGGAAUGGAAAGUCCGGCCAUAGUGGGUGAUAGCCCCGUAUGCGAAAUCGAUGGUGUGGAACUAGGCUUGCGACAAGUAGGGCGGGACACGUGAAAUCCUGUCUGAACAUGGGGGGACCAUCCUCCAAGGCUAAAUACUCGUAAUCGACCGAUAGUGAACCAGUACCGUGAGGGAAAGGCGAAAAGAACCCCGGAAGGGGAGUGAAAUAGAUCCUGAAACCGUGUGCAUACAAACAGUAGGAGCC